RNAcentral lists this microRNA (24 nucleotides) under Ananas comosus (pineapple). RNAcentral's name for it is "microRNA s1114_c003b". The record is from RNAcentral. Lineage: Eukaryota; Viridiplantae; Streptophyta; Magnoliopsida; Poales; Bromeliaceae.
CCUAGGGUUGAGUGGGUGGUUGGU